UUACCCCUAAGGCUUAAGUCACUAAUUAGUAAUUAGUAAUUAUUUAAUUAGACUAACAAGUUAAUAAGAAAGACUAACUUUUAACUUAAGUCUAACAUAUCAAAUACUGAAAUGGUAUUAGUAUAUUACCGAGUAGGAUAGUCUAGUACACUAUUAUUCUAUUAUGCAGCUAUGCUAAAUUGACAAUUGCUUAUAUACUAUAUAGUCAUAUUACGAUAUUAGUCAAUCACUCAUGUAGUCAUAACACAUUUCUAAUUAAGUAAUUUGUAUUUAUGUACUAAUCUACUAGUCAAUUAUAUCAUUUAUAAGUUUACACGAUUACAAGUGUAUUGCUUAUACGUACAAAUCCGUAAUAUUACUAGCUCUCUAAGAUAUGACGUCAUUAUAUUAUUAAACGGUCUUCGAUUUUUUUAUUAAUUGCAACGCUAGACAUUUACACGCUAACUGAUUCACAUUUUAUAAUCUAAAGAACUUAAUAUUUUAAUGUGUGUGUUAAAAAAAUUUAUAAAAAAUUAAAAACUGAUAUUAUGUAGGUGUAUAUCGUUUUAUCGGGAUUCGAGAAAUGUAAUUAGUUUUUUUUUGAAACCAUGUAAUUAAUCAAUUGUAUAAAAGUUUGUUUAAUGUUGUUAAACAAAAAUUAAAAAUUUUGAUUAUUACAAAGUGGAAAAUUGAUUUUAUUUUUUGGUUGACAAUUUCUUCAAAAUAUGAAUGGUGGGAAAUUUCCCUCCAAAAACCAAAAGGAAAAACAAAUUUUAGAUUUAGAAUUUAGAUAUUUUGAGUUAGAAUUUCCCUCCAAAAAUAAGAAAAAAACCCUAGCUUCCUUCUCUUCCUUGAUUCUCAGCCGUCAUAUAUAAGUUUUUUUUUUUCCCAUCUUUCUUUCUUCUUUCGUUCUUAGCUUCUUUCUUCCAGUUCUUUCUUCCAGUUCUUUCUUCCAAUCUCCAAGCUCAGCACCUUCUUUCAAUCUCUCUCUAGCUACUCUCAAGCUAAGUUGAAGGUAAAUUUAUACUUACUCAAGCUAAUCUCGAUUUUUUUUCCGAUUGUUCAUGAUUUUGAUUGUUUCCGAUUUUUUUUCUGUUUUUUUUUUUUUUUUUUUUUUUAGCAAUUUAUACGAUUUUACAACCAUACCAUCCCAGCUAUAUGAUUAUGUGAUAUACUAUACUUCGUAUUAAUCAAUUACAUGUAUUUUUUCACUAAUUAAUUUCUUAUACAUUAUCUGUAUUCUAAAAUUGUUUAAUAGCUGAGAUUAGUGGUGUUACUGGAAUCUUAUUGGUAGUAAUGUGUUAAAGAUUUCCUCAAGUUUAAUCAUCUGAAGAAGUAUUUGUGAAUAAUACAAGAUGUGAGAUUGAUCCUUGUUAGAAUUUUAUUUUUAACAAUCUUCUGCUGCAUUUAGACUUAUAGAUUAGGAAACUCUUAGCUAGAACGAAAGACCACUUACUGAAAUGUAAAAUUCAGAUGUAAAAUAGAAAGACCACCCUAUUAUUCAGAUGGUCAUUCAUUUUAAACUCAGAUGUGAAUUCCACUGCUGGCUUUGGUUAUGUGAGGUUAUGGUUAUGUGAGGUUAGCAGUCUUGUUUUGGGAUCUUGGUUGGGGGUCAUAUAUUUCUGAAUUCUUGCUGUUUGAGUGGUUUACACCAAUGUCUGUUCCUUUUAUCUAUUAAAUUUCAUCUUUUCCCCCUGCUUUCCUAUCCCAGACGUUAUCUUGACAUUUUGUUUUUUGUUUUUUGUUGUUGCUAUUUUUGUAGUAUAUCAAUCCAAUUGUACAAAAUUCACAGCAUCCUCUGAAAGCAAACUUAUUGUAUGCAAUUGAAAGGAUUUUGAAGCUCUCAGUGCCAAAUUUGUACGUUUGGCUGUGCAUGUUCUAUUGCCUUUUCCACCUCUGGAUUUUAUCCCAAGUAAAGGCCAUAAAUUAUUCCAGUAAUGGAGCAAGAGUUUAAUGGUUUUGAUGAGCAUUCUACUGUUCAGAAUCAAGAUUCUACUCAAUAUACCACUAGUGGCAGUAAGCGUGGACGAACAUCAGAUGUUUGGAGGUAUUACACCUUUUUUGAUAAGAUGGUUGGUCUUGCUCCGAUAAAAUAUGCUCGAUGCAAUGUUUGUGGUAAUGAAUAUAAAACACCAGGUAAUGCUGGUACUUCAACUUGUAAAGCUCAUACUAAGACAUGCAUGAGUAAAAAUCCACACCAUCCUGGAAAUAAUGAAAGUGGUGUUGAGCUCCCGUUUAA
This is a long non-coding RNA of Chenopodium quinoa (quinoa), 2218 nucleotides long. RefSeq lists it as uncharacterized. The record is from RefSeq and is a predicted model, not a curated record. The transcript is spliced from 2 exons. NCBI's taxonomy places the organism in Eukaryota, Viridiplantae, Streptophyta, Magnoliopsida, Caryophyllales, Amaranthaceae.